UCAAAGACCAUGAAGGGGAAAAGUAGGAUUCGGCCAUUUUUCCCAGAGAGCUUCGGCAGGUGGAAAGAAGCAAAAAUGCGAAUCCGAACAAUGGCCCCGGAGUUGCGUGCUGAACGCGGCCGUUUUUUCGGCCGUCAGUAGGUUCCGACGAGCUCGGUACUCGUUACAACUACCGCAGUAUGAAGGCGCGAUGCCGCAAGCGUCGAUGCCGUAGUACUGGCUGAGGCCGUCUUGCGCGAGCGGGCGGUGAAGUAAGGUGGUACCACGUGAACCCAACCACGUCCUUAUC
Molecule: non-coding RNA, 289 nt
Filed under: Caldibacillus debilis
Lineage: Bacteria; Bacillati; Bacillota; Bacilli; Caryophanales; Bacillaceae
Description: T-box sequence
Rfam family: T-box leader
About the family: Uncharged tRNA acts as the effector for transcription antitermination of genes in the T-box leader family. T-boxes are found upstream of many aminoacyl-tRNA synthetase genes and some amino acid biosynthetic genes usually in Gram-positive bacteria.
Source: RNAcentral